RNAcentral lists this long non-coding RNA (607 nucleotides) under Homo sapiens (human). RNAcentral's name for it is "HSALNT0328692". The record is from RNAcentral. Lineage: Eukaryota; Metazoa; Chordata; Mammalia; Primates; Hominidae.
AUAAAAAUAAUGCAUUGUAUGCCGGAAGGGAUAAAUCUGGGGCUGAGUACAAGCAAAACAAGACCAAAGGAAGCUACCUGAGCAGGUAUUCCAGAUACUCAUGUCAUACACCAAGGUUGUACCAGUGCCCCUUUCUCUGUGACACAUCCAUCCACUGGAAACUUUCGUACAACUAGCUGAAAGAAGAGAAACAUCCUAUUUCAUGUCACUGGAGCCCUAAUGAUCGCAGCCAUUUCAGGAAAUGCCAUCAAUUACAGUGAGGAGCUCAUUCAGAAGUGAAAGAUGAGUUCCAUUCUCUGUUACUUAGAGGGUGGAUAUCCUCCUCCACUGAAUGCAAACUAUUAAGUAAUGAAAAGACAGCACUCCAAGCAAUAUAGAUUUAUAGGCCAACCUGGCAAUCAAGGGUAACUGACAUGAAAAUGGAUUGCUUCACAUUUUAAUUACAAAGAUACUCUUCAGUACCAUAAAUUGAAGAAAACACUAACUUUUUGUGGCUACUGUAAUUGUCAAAGUAUAAUUACCUGUGUUUUCUCACCUACGUAUUUGAGAUAGAGACAAAACCAAGUAAGUUAAUCCACUUAUAAUAAAAAUGUCUUCUGAGAAUAUA